GAAUAAGGAGUUGAGGGGACAUGUUCCCAACUAACUCCGUCUACUGAAAUAAACUGAAAACUGAAAUAUUGAUAUGAAUAAUAACAUAAUUGAACUCGAAGGAUGAGUACUCACUAUUAAUUACUGCUUCUAGCUGACUCUGAAAUUGCUAAGGGAGCUCUGGAUCCCGUGCAUCCAAACCUAUGGUGUAAGACACCAUAGCGUGAGAAAAGUAUGCAUUAGUACUUUGAAUGUACUAGUAUGCAAGUGAGGUAGGGUGAAUGCAUGGGGUUCAUAUGUAUAAACAAUACUGACUAACAUGAACGUGAGAAUACAUGCAUGAAUACAUAAUAACUGUAACUGAAACUGUACUAGUACUGGAUACUGAAUUCUGUGUACUGAUUUACUGACAUCUGAGUUUACUGAAUAAAGAGGAACUGAUGUUAUAUUAAUGAUAAAGAAAAUCACUGUUUCUGAUAGUUCUGAUUAUGAAGAAUUGAUCUGAUUAACCGUAUAUAACAGUCCUAAAACUGAGUUCGUGAUAACAUGACUACCGAGUAUGAAUACUGAUGACAUGUAUUUACUGAUAACAUAUCAUUACUGAUAACUGAAUUCUGAUAACUGAUAACAUGAGUUCUGAUAACUGAUAGCAUGAAUGACUAUAUCUGACAGUCCUGGAUCUGAUGGAACUAGUUGAGUUGCGUACUGUAUCUGAGUUGCCUGUAUCUGUCAGUCCUGAUAUCCUGAAGAACUAUCUAAGUUCUUUUACUGAGACUGAUACUAAAACUGUGGGAAGUAGUUAUCUAACCGACAUGCCCCAAAUACGCUAUAAUAGCUAAGCUGGGGUCCAAUCUUUGCCCUGAUUGGAAGGGUGUCAAUACUGCGCCCCUAGUAAGGACAAGCUGUGAGUGACCCUCAUCUGGCAGAUACUCUAAUGAGAACGGUGGGAAACCUCAUCUGACAGGUCAAGCCACCUCAUCUACCCUAAACUGACAGGUAUUGAUGUCUCAACCUAUGAAGGCUACAUAGUUCUGGAAUGCAAGGACUGCUUCUAAGAAUCACACCCUGUACUGGCACGUGAGAUCCCAUCCUUGGGUUCGCUAGGCACUGAAUCCUACUGCCAACUGAAUGACAUUGAACUGAUUAUACUGAACUGAUUUCCUAGUUCAUACUAGAAUUAACUCAACUGUUACUGAUUGUUCUGUUUAACUGAACUGAACAUGGACUGAUUUUAUAGAGUUUCGAUUACUAGCGAAACACUACUGAAUUCUGUUAACUGACUAAAUGCUACUGAGUUUUAUUAGCUGAUUGAGUUUACUGAUGUCUGAACUUAACACAGAACUAAACUGUACUGAUACUGAGAUUUACUGAAUUCCAUAGACUGGCGGAAUAUUACAGAGAUUAUGUAGAUUACUGAGUACUGAGUAAAUCUGAACUGAUACUGCCUUUUCAUGAGUUUUCCUGAGUCAUGAGACUGACUGAAGUCUACUGAACAUGGCUUGACUGAGAGUAUCGUGAAAACAUGACAUGUCUCUAGGCACCGAGCUAUAUUUUUGGGGUACAAGUACCCCCAGGACUCGAUGGAAGGAAACUGACACAUCAUGAAAAUUCUUGAUCAUAGGACUAAAGAUCCGCAAUUCAUAAUACCAUAAGUUGGGGAUUUCAUGAAAGCACUUGAUAAUUAUAAUCUUGUACAUGAAUAGGAAUGUAUCCUAACAUAUCAUAAUUUCACAAUUUUAAUUUUACUUGCAUGACAUGAACUUGUAUACAUGCUAACAUAAUGUAGUUUCAUUACUUAACUUUCAUGAACCAUUUGUCAAACACCUGCAAGACAUAGCAUCAACAUGGAAAUCAUUUAAAUCAUGUAGUAUUAACAUGAAUUCAUUAUUUAGAUCACCAAUAGAUCACAAGGCACAAUUCAUUCACUUGAACAUUUUCACAAACACAUGAAAGACAUGAUUUUAUACUUAGGCAUGUAUAACAUGCUCCCAAUUCAUGACCAUAACCACCAAUUCACAUCUCAAGGUUUUCAAUAUAUGAUGGUCAUGAUUCAACACACAUGGGAAGCAUAGAUAUUUCAUUCAUCAAUUAACAUAUAUCAAUAUUAUGGGUAUAACAUCCAACUUGCAAAUUCCAAGAACUCAACAUAAAUCUCAUAUGAAUUAUACCACAAAUUAAUUAGUUUUCAUGAUUCUUGAAAUAAAUCAUGGAAUUAAAACUCAAUUUAACAUCAACAACAUGAUUAUAAACAUCCCACAACAAAAUAUUCAUGAUACAUAACUUAAAACUUGAUUCUUGAGCUCCAUGGAUGAAAAGAAUCCAUGAAUGAACACUAUUCAUACCUUAGAUGAAUUAUCCGUGACAGUUAACGGUGAAAUUGGCUUGAAUCUUGAAACCCUCAAUUGAACCCUUACUUGUUCUUGAUAAUUUUUGAGAGAAUUUGAGAAAAAAGGAGUAUAUUCUGCUCUAAAUUAGGCUUAAUGCCGUGUUUGAGCAUAUAUAUAGGAUGGGCAAAAGACUAAAAUACCCCUAGAGAAAGAGAGAAAGACACAACUGUCCUAUCUUAUUUCCAAGCUGAUAGGCUGAAGUAAAUUGAUUAUAACUCUUUGCUCCGAUGUUUAAAUUGGAUGAAACCAAUUGCAUUCGAAAGAGGACUCAAAGAUCUUUUCAUAUAUAUUUAGCAGCUCUUACAAUUCAAAAUAUUCAAGAAGUGAUGAUCGUUUUAAAUUAACCCUGAAAGGCUGAAAAUUUUUGGAGCAUGCUAUAGAGCAUGCGAAGCAUGCAAAUGGCACGGUGCUUCUGUUUUGAAAUCGAAAAAUUCCCUUAACGGAUUCCAAAAAUUUUGAAACUCAUUUGAGAUGUACUCUUGACUUACCUGAUCACAACGCAACUUGAAAAUCCAAAAACGGAGAUCGAGAAGGUCGUCAAAUAAAUCCCCAAAGUUCGGAGGUAUAAGAUAAAACUAAGUGUUUCUAACACUUAGCAAAAUUCUUAUAAGUGUUAGAUUUCCUUAAUAAGCCUUAAGGAGUUGAAUUUCACUUAAGAUUUUUAUGGGGUCUUACAAUAUCUUCCCCUUAGAAACAUUCGUCCUCGAAUGAGACUUACUAAGAAGGGGAGUAGAGACCAACUGAGGCUUAUACUGAGCAUGAAUGACUGAAACAUGAUUUCAUGACUUACAUGACUGAUAAGCUGAAUUUGUAUCAAACUAAACAUACAUAUCUUAUGCAUGUGUAACUGAUUUAUGAAUGAAGGACUGAGUGUUCUGAUGAACUGGGUUUCUCCAAAUAAGAAUACAUAUCUUGUGUAUAACUAAUAAGCUGAAUUCAUGCAUAUCUGAUGCAUGAUUAUAUGACUGAACCGGCUUGUGAACAUGCGACUUAAUAUGCAAUAGUAAAAGAUGCCAAGUUUAACUAAAACUUGGGCAUGAAACUAAAUACCAAGUUUGGUACUGAAAUCUGAACAUGAGAACGAGUAAGUUUAAGGAAGACUGUUACAUUGAACUUAAAAUACCGAUGAGUCUAAGAUUAAUUACUCAAUAUGCAUGAGCGGAAAUGUGAGGACAUAACUGAGUCUGGAACGUGAUACAUGAAAUGAAUAUUAUGAUAUGAACUGAGCCUGUAAUGCGUGACAUGGAUAGAGUAUCGUGAACUAAACUGAGCCAUUGAGUAGAUAGCUUACGACUGAGAUUUAGAUUUAGAAGGCCAUCUUAUAAGUAACCCUUCCUCUAAGCUGGAUUCAUGACAUAAAGAGAGACCGGUAUGUUUGUGUCAUUACAGCUUGAGGGAUUAGAGUGUAUCUGCCCCUUGGGACACUAUGUCCCUUGAAGAAUGCUGCACUGCCUUUCCUGAAAUAUUGAGGAAAACUAGGGUGAUCCACAAGGCAUGUAGGAACUGAAUCGUGACAUAAUUAUCUAAUAUUUGGUACUGAGGCAUGAUACAUAAACUGGGUUAUACUCGCAACUACUAGGACACUCUAUCUUGGAAUAGUUACAUUCAAGCCUAUCAUUAAUACUGCACCCUUGUAUAAAAUAAUCAUGCAACAAUCUUCUCUUAACAUGAAAUAUUUUCUCUCUCCUAUCUAAGCAACCACUCAUCACUACACUAUUUUCAUAAAGAGAGCUGACUGAAGGGUUAAAUCAGGAGGACCUGAAGCAUGAAUCGAUACAAACUGAACUUGACACAUGACUGAAACCUGAGGAAUAUAAUAUCAACAACAUGAAUUUACAAAAAAGGUAAGAACUGAGGAUAUACAUGACAUAGUCUGAAUUUAUCUGAUCUGUAGGGGCAUAGCAUGAGUCAUGAAAGCUGAGUAUACUAUAAAGCAUGAUAUGUGUACAUGAGUCAUGAGCUGCAUGACCUAAGUUUCGAAUUUUUGUAUUUGUGAGACGUGAUUCAUGACACUGAGUGAUUUAGAUGACUCCCUAUGCUGGGAACUGAAAGCACACAUGAUUCUAUGGAAAACGCGUGAACAUAAGUCGUGUUCAUGAAAUUGAUUCAUACUAUGGGGUAAACUUAGAUCCUUUAUACUGGUAACUGAAACCGUACAUGAUUUAUGGAAAAGUGCAUGAUCGUGGUUCGUGACCUUAGAGUUGAUAUGUAAGACCUAAGUUGAUUUCAUGAUAGCUGAAGUACAAAUCUUUGUACUGAGAAGAGGAUGGGUUGGGAAUCGUCUUGCCUUACUGCAUUUCUAUAAUAAUGAAAAGUUAAGGUAUUUUUUAAAGUAAUUUUUCCUUAAAAAAAUUGAAGUAUAAAGAAGAAUUAUCCACUUUUUAGCAAAAAAUAUUUUAGAAUUUUGAAUUAAAUGUCUCAAAUCUUCAUAUUAAUAAUAUAAAACUUUUACAACAAUAACAAGUUAAUAUAAUGGAAACCAAUAUUGACUUAGCAUUUUAUUAUUUAGAAUUAAUCCUUACUUUUAUUAUAAUAAUCAUAUUAAUAAUAAUAAUAAUAAAAUAUUUAAUGUCUUUUAAUAAUACUAGAAUUUCUAUUAAAAUUUGGAUCUAGCCCACUUAUUUAAUACCCUUGCAACUGAAUGAUCAAAAACAUUUUGCAUACUUGCAAAACAAUGAGCUACAGAAGAACAAAUUAAUCAAGGCUAAAACCGAGCAAAACUAAAUGACUAUAUGCACUCUUUAUAAUCUUUACCCACACACAAAUAAGGGGUAUGAAGGAAGUUAAGUAGCCAACUUAUUUAAUACCCUUGCAACUGAAUGAUCAAAAAUAUUUUGCAUACUUGCAAAAAAUGAGCUACAAAAGAACAAAUUAAUCAAGGCUAAAAACCAGCAAAACUAAAUGACUAUAUACACUCUUUAUACAAAGUAGAUAUAAUCUUUACCCACACAAAUAAGGGGUAUGAAGGAAGUUAAGUAUGAAAGAAAAAAAAUACCAAAAUCCAUCAAAGGAUUCGAAUAUGUGACCAAAAAUUAUGAAAGGAAAAGAAAAAAAACGUAAAAAUCUUAAAUGUCAAUGAAGUUACCAACUAUUCUCUUUCAAUCAAUUUACUGCCAAUUUUUUCUUCGCGGUCCAUCUCUUCCUGCACACAUCUAUUGCCUCCAGCUUCAUUCUUUCGAGUUCUUGAAAGCAUUGUUGAUAUUGUGACUCAAUUGUAGCAAGCUCCAACUUUAACUCGACGUUGUCCAGAUCAUCUUUCUCUACUAACAGUAAAAAUGAACGAUUGCUAAAUAAUCUCAUGCAUUUAGAAUAUUUAUCUGUAUCCAUCAAGGUCACCUCCAGCUUUUUAAAUUCAUUUGAUAAUAUGUAGUCUACAUAAUCACCACCAUUUCGAUGUGACUUACCUUCAUGAUGAAACAAGCCCAUGAACUCUAGCUCUGAUAAGUAUCCACUAGAUCCUUUAGAGAUUAAAUGUGCACCUGUGAAGUAGUUGCCAAAUCCAAAUGAAUUCGAAGAAUCUUUGUGAAAUUCAAGCAUUACAGCUUGAUAAUCCAUGAACAAGGAAGAAGAAAGGAUAGAGUGUAGUUGGGAAUUUUAUUCUUCAUCGUCUGUACAUUACAACAUUGAAGCUAUUUAUAUACUUGAGCUAAGAUAGUGAGCUCAUUUCCAUCUUUGUGACAACUCAUCAUAACUUACUGACAACUUGCCUAACAACCUCUAAUAACUUGCUAUUGCUAACUGACUAACAAUCGAGAAUCUUCCAUAACCUUCCAUCCAAUAGAAAAGUUAGUUUUGUGUGGUUUUGUGCAGUGUGUAUUAUAUCUUGACAUCAUAUUUUGAGUUUGGAUCAAUAGUUAAAGCACGCCUCCUCAAGCUGCAGGGUGCAAUAUAUUCAGCACACCAAGCUUGCCUAAUUAAUGAGCAUGUUGGGCUUAGCUUAGUACCAUGGUAAGAAGGUCACCCACCUGGUCCUGAGUGUGAACAUGUAUAGAUUGUAUCAGUCCACUUUUGGUCUUGUCCCUAAUGAAAUGACAGUUAAUCUCUAUGUGUUUUGUUCUCUCAUGAAUCACAGGAUUGUUGGCCAAUUGAAUUGUUGAAUUGUUGUCACUAAAGACUGAUAUGGGCAAGGUAAUGGAAACCUUGAGUUCCUGGAGCAAACCAACCAACCAAGUUAUCUCUGCAACUNNNNNNNNNNNNNNNNNNNNNNNNNNNNNNNNNNNNNNNNNNNNNNNNNNNNNNNNNNNNNNNNNNNNNNNNNNNNNNNNNNNNNNNNNNNNNNNNNNNNNNNNNNNNNNNNNNNNNNNNNNNNNNNNNNNNNNNNNNNNNNNNNNNNNNNNNNNNNNNNNNNNNNNNNNNNNNNNNNNNNNNNNNNNNNNNNNNNNNNNNNNNNNNNNNNNNNNNNNNNNNNNNNNNNNNNNNNCUCCCAGUGUGAUCUCUUGGGAUGUUGCAUAAACUAGCUGAGAUGUGGACUGCACAACUAAUAUCUGAUCUUUUAAUAGUGGCAUACAUGAGUUUACCCACUAGUGUUUGAUAAGAAGAAGCAUCAGACAAUAAAUUAUCACCUUGUGCACCUGUGGCUUGAUCAUACUCAAGUGAUGUUAACCUUACAUUGGAUUCUAAGAGAGUGAUUUCAGGUUUUGAACCACUAAGACUAGUAUCUGAAAUUAAUUCUAGAAAAUACUUAUUUUUGUUUAAUAUCACCCCUGAAGUAGAAUUGAGGACUUCAAUACCUAAGAAGUAUUUGAGAUUCCCCAAGUCUGUCAUCUUGAAAUGCUGAUGUAACUUGGUUUUUGGUGCAUUAAUCAAUGCUGCAUUGCUUCCAGUAAGGAGUAGGUCAUCAACAUAAACAACAACAACUACUGUGUCAUCACCUUGAUGUAGAAUGAAGAGAGAAUAGUCAUGAGCACUCUGAGUGAAUCCAAUAUCAAGCAAAACAUGAGUCAGUUUCCGGUUUCAUUGUCUAGAAGCCUUGCUGAGUCUAUACAAGGAUUUGAGCAACUUGGAAACUUUGUGCUCUCCUUGGCUUGUGAAACUUUCUGGAAGUUCAAUUUACACUUGAUCUUCAAGAUCCCUUUGUAAAAAUGCAUUAUAGACAUCCAUUUAAUUAAGAGGCCAUCCUCUAGAUACUGCUACAACAAUCACACUCCUGACAGUAACCAUUUUUGCCACUGGUGAAUAUGUUUCAUGAUAAUCUAGCCCUUCUUGUUGGCAAUAUCCCUUGUCCACUAAUCUUUCUUUGAAACUUUCCACUUUACUAUUUGCAAGAUAUUUAAUCUUGUAUAUCCAUUUGGAACCAAUAGUGUUCUUUUCUUUGGGCAAGUCAACAAUGGUCCAUGUGUUAUUGGCCUCCAAUGCUUGGAUUUCUAAAUUCAUAGCUUCCACCCAUCUUUCAUCUUUUAUAGCUUGUUUAAAGUCUUGAGGCUCAGUCAGAGUGGAGAACUUUAACAAGUGCCACUAAUAUGAAGGUCUCAAUUUACUGUAAGACAGGUUGUUGGCUAAGGGGUGCUUGCAUCUUUGGGUUUUUGAAGUGUCAGCAUAAUCAUGCAUCCACACAGGUGGCCUGCUUAUUAUUGUUGGUCUAUUGGAAGAGGGUUAAGGCAGGAAACGGUCAUCUUGACAUGUUUUUUCAUGAGUGGUGUCAGGUGAAACAGCACCAGGUACUGCAACAUUAGAGGAAGCUUAAGUCAGAGAAGGCUCAUCUUAGCAGUCAGCUUCAGUAUUUGCAUCAGAGAAAGGUACAUUAGGUGGUGCAGCAUUAGGAAAAUCAGCAUCAUUAACGUGAAUAUCCUCUAAAGGAAUAUCAGUACCAACUUCAAUAUCUGUGGAUACCAGGAAGUCAUUGAUGUCUUUAUUAGUUUGGGAAGCAUUUGGAUGCUGUAAUUUUGCUUGUGAUGGAUCAAAGGGGAAUGAAUCUUUAUGAAACACAACUUCCCUACUCACUAAUAGUAUUUUUGAGUGGAUGUCCAGUAGCAAGUAACCCUUCUGAGACUGUGAAUAUACUACUAACAUGGCAGGUUUAUCUCUUUUAGAGUACUUUUCACCUUUAGGGACAAUAGUCACAUAACACAGACAUCUAAACACCCACAAAUGAGAUAGCUUGGGAUCCUUGGAGAAUAACAACUGAUAUGGGCUCUUACAACUCAAGACUGAGAUUAGUAACCUGUUCACAAUAUAUACUACAGGUUUCACACAUAAUCCCUAAUACUUGAUGGGCAAGUGGGACUCAAACUUAAGAGCUCUAGCUAUAUUUAAUAUGUGUUUGUGCUUCCUCUCAACCACUCUAUUUUGUUGUGGAGUAUGAGGACAACUAGUCUGAAGUAGAAUACCUGUAUGUGACAUUGAGUAUCAACUCAGUCCCAUUAUCAGAUCUAAUAGCCUUUAUCACCACUCCAAACUGUGUUCUAAUCAUGGAUAUGAAUCUCUUAAUAGCUAAUAUGGUCUCAGAUUUUUGAUUCAACAGAUGAAACCAAGUAUAUCUACUAUAAUCAUCCACCAUAGUCAAGAAAUAACACUUAUUAUCAAAUGUAGAUGUUAUAUAAGGACCCCAUAAAUCCAGGUAUACAAGUUUAAAACAUGCAAAACAUUUAGUAGUACUUAUAGGAAAUAACAUUCUUGUUUGUUUAGCUAGUGGACAUACACUGCAUUUAUUCAACAGAUUUAUAUCACUGUGAUUCGUCAAAAUGUCUAAGUAUCUUAAAACCUGAGAAGUUGGGUUCCCAAGUCUUUGGUGCCACAAUCUGCAACUGGGAACAAUAGCUUCUGUAAUGAAUCUGUUGUGUUUUGGUCCUACAUGAUCAGUAUUAUUGUCGACACACAAUUUUGGCUCUCCUUUUCAUAAAAUUAAUUUCUCGAUGCUUAGAAUUUUUGAAUUUUUUUUCUUUUUUCUUCUUCUAAAUAGUCAACGUUAACAAUUUGAAAAUGAUAUUUUUUUUACUAAUAUCGAACCUCACAAAUUUAAUCAAUAAUAAAUAAAUAAAUAAAUUUUAAAUUAUCAUUUCACAAUUUUAUUUUAUUUUUUAAAAAAUGAAUAAAAAAACAUAUGUUAGUAUAUUAACAUAAUAUUAACUAUAUUAUUAUAUUUUUUUGCAAUAUUUACACUAUAUUUUAUUUAAUUAUAUAGAUAUAUAUAUUUAAAUUUUUGAUAAAAUUAAUAACCAACGAUGAAUUAGUCAAGUUGAAAUGGAUCAACGAGAAUUAAAUAAAUUCAUUGAUCCGAUUCGGCCAAAUUCUUUAAUUAAAUUUAGCCCUUUGAAAUGUAGGAAGACCAGCCCCAAAACUCAUUUUACUAGCCCAAACCAAACUCGUUGGCCCAGCUCACCUUACAACAUCAAAGAACAACAACAUCAGCAAUAUGACCAACACAAUCCUAAAAAGCCUCUCUUCACGUGAAAUUCAACCAAACACACUUCAAUCACGGAAAGUCCACCGAAAAUUUUGACUUUUGAAGAGCCCAUCUUUGAAAAGGAAAACUUUGGUGCUCAUUUUCUUUCUUCCUUUUUUUUCGUUUGAUUUGAAUUUUGAAUUUUGUGAUACAUGAAGAAGUCGUUACAGCCCUUUUUCCCCUAAAAGGGGAGUCUUCUUCACAAUAAAAGGGUGAAAAGAGAUCAAUUCGCCAGGGGCCUGCUAUUUUUUCCUUGUUUAUUUGAAGUUCGAGUCUUUGAGUUGAAGCCCUAGUUCGUUUCUCCACACAAGGUCAGUAAUCGCCUUCAUCUUCACAUUUUUUGUUUUAGUUUUUUUUUUAAAUAAAAUACGAUUAUUUAUAGCUUCUUGUCAUUUAUCUCAACUCUGCCUAUCUGGAUCCGUUUGCUUAUUCUAUUUCUUUUAGGGCUAUGCGUGAAAAUGGUUGACAAGAAUUAAUGUUAUUUAAAUAUUUUAUUUUGGUUAACUCAUCCAAUAUCUAUGUUCUAGUUUCGUAUUUAGAGUUUAUUUGGUGUCCUUGUUGCUGUUGCUCUUAUUUUAGUAAGAUUGCCUCAUUUUAAUCUUGUUUUAUGAAUUAAUUAAUUUUUGGCCUUACUUGGUAUUGUUGUUGUUAUCAUCCUGGGAUUUUAUUUUUAUAUUGCGCAGAUUUUAAAUAUAUCUUCAAUGCUAUCAUCAAUACUAAAUACUCUCUCCGUUUUAUUUUAGUUGGCCCUAUGAACUUAGUACUCCCACUAAGGAAUAAUUAAUAGAAUUUAUUUUUAUCAAAUUAGCCUUAAUAAUUAUGCUUUAAAAAAAAUAUAACUUUGAGUAUUUAUAUUUGUUUAGUCAUUUAAUGAUAUGAGUAGAAUGGAGAAAUAUAUGUAAAAUAAUAUUGAUUUUACAAUUGGGACAAGUAAUGUGAAAAAAAUUAUUUUUUUAAAUAAAAAGAGGGUCAACUAAAAAUAAAAAAUGGAGAAAAUAUUAAUUAUACUCAUGUUAUUUUUUUCGAAAAUUGAUACGUGCGUUACCAGCUAAUUCCGUUUAUGGCACCAGAGGUGCAUGAAAGGAAAGGGCAAAUAGUUGCAUCUUUUUUUUUUAAAAUUAAAAAGGGUGUUGAAAGAAAAAAAAUCAAAUAAUUUCUUUACUUUAUCUUUUUGCAUUAAAAGGGAUGUCAUAUCUUUAUCAAUUAAUUUUAAAGCUUUAUUGAUUUUUUUUUUUUAAAAGGAAAAGUUUUUUUAAAAGUCUUAACUUCUUUCUUUCUUUCUUUUCAUAAGAUAACAAAUGUUGAAUAGCUUUGCGGUAAACUAGUGUUCUUCUUUAUUUGAAAUAUUUAACAAGAAAGGAUUACGCUUAAUUAAAGUACUAUUAUAUUGUUAUAAAACGUUAGGAGAUAUAGGAAAAAUGUUCUAUUAAAAGUUAUGCUAUGAAAGGUUUUUAAAGGAAAGGGUAUUUUAUUUGAUUUUGUCCAAAACUCAUUAUGUUUAUCACUAUGGGAAUACAAUGGAUUCUUUGUUGUUGUUGUUGUUGUUGUUGUUGUGGAGUUUGACAGAUAACAAGUUUGAAUAUUAUGAUAUGAGGUUUUUUUUUAUGAGGUUGGGUCACCUGUUCCUUGACAAGGAUUAAGUGUAUGUUUUCCCCCGAUGAAUUGUUAGAAGUCUUGUUAAUGUACUUUCUUUUUCAUGUUCAUUUGGAUUGAGUUUCCUAUUAUAUGAGACAAAAGCUGUUUACAUCGCAAAAUAUUUAUUCCCAAAUGUUUGUUCCUUAUAGGUAUAUGCUGAUUUAUUUUUGCGGUUUCAUUAAAAUUUAAUAUUCGAAUAUUCAUGUGGCAUGUAUUUCUUUCCGUUCAUUUUCCUUACAAUUAGUUUGGCACUUAAUAUUAAUUUUUCUUAUUUUUUCAUGUACACUCAGGAGUGUGUUUGGAGUCUCAUGGCAUGAUUCCAUCUCUGUUCAAAUCAGACAAGCGAGCAAAUUGCAUUACGCAUCUCCUUCUAGAAGUCUUGUGCCUCCUUCCCCCUUUUCAAGCUUCUCUUCUUCCGUAGAAACCUAUUUCUUUUCUUUAUUUAAUAUUUCGUGCACUAUUAUUUAAAAGUUGUGUUUUUAUAUGUUCUUAUGUGAUUUUGUGUAGCGAAUUUUUAUCGUUCCCUCUUCGCCCGUUAGAUUUUAGACUUAGCAUAAUCACCAAACUUCGACAUUUAACUUACAUCAUUAAAAGUUUUAAAAUUUGUAGUUUAAAAGAUAUCUUUAGAAUAAUGACCAAGUUUGUUAGAAUCCUUUUAAUACUUCUUUAAUACGAAAUGGUAGCUUAUCUUUAGAAUAAUGUUAGUUUCUUAUUAGGUAAUAAUUUGGAAAUCCUUUAAAUAUAAAUUUGUGGUAGAUAGGCAUAUUAUUACUUAUUUGGAAAACCGGCUUUACUAAUUUUAGAUACGGCAAAUCAAAGUUUAUUUUUAAUAAAAAAUGACAUUUCGCAAGUCCCUUUUAAGUAUUCCUAAUAACAAUAAAAAAUAUUUUAUCGGAAUAAAUAAUAAAUUCUUAAGUCAUUAUAUAUUUAAACAACUAUAUAAUUUACUGUAACGCCUCGAUUUUCUGAACUGAAACGCUACACGGUGCCCAUGACCCCGAAGGACCACAAACUAACCCAUGACUUAUAUCUAUACUUGAGCACUAAAUAACCAUACUGUGAAAUAUGCGAAAACAUAAUACUGUAAGGCCAUAAGGAUCAAAUCUGAAUAAACAUCUGAUAAAAUAAUAUCUAAAAAUGGUAUAACAAUACCAACAUAAAUCUGAAAUAAUUCUCUAACAUGCUGUAGACUGAAAACCCCUAAACUGAAAUAAAUAAGGAGUUGAGGGGACAUGUUCCCAACUAACUCCGUCUACUGAAAUAAACUGAAAACUGAAAUAUUGAUAUGAAUAAUAACAUAAUUGAACUCAAAGGAUGAGGACUCACUAUUAAUUACUGCUUCUAGCUGACUCUGAAAUUGCUAAGGGAGCUCUGGAUCCCAUGCAUCCAAACCUAUGGUGUAAGACACCAUAGCGCGAGAAAAGUAUGCGUUAGUACUUUGAAUGUACUAGUUUGCAAGUGAGGAAGGGUGAAUGCAUGGGGUUCAUAUGUAUGAACAAUACUGACUAACAUGAACGUGAGAAUACAUGCAUGAAUACAUAGUAACUGUAACUGAAACUGUACUAGUACUGGAUACUGAAUUCUGUGUACUGAUUUACUUACAUCUGAGUUUACUGAAUAAAAAGGAACUGAUGUUAUAUUAAUGAUAAAGAAAAAGACUGUUUCUGAUAGUUCUGAUUAUGAAGAAUUGAUCUGAUUAACCGUAUAUAAUAGUCCUAAAACUGAGUUCGUGAUAACAUGACUACCGAGUAUGAAUACUGAUGACAUGUAUUUACUGAUAACUGAAUUCUGAUAACUGAUAACAUGAGUUCUGAUAACAGAUAGCAUGAAUGACUGUAUCUGACAGUCCUGGAUCUGAUGGAACUAGUUGAGUUACGUACUGUAUCUGAGUUGACUGUAUCUGUCAGUCCUGAUAUCCUGAAGAACUAUCUGAGUUCUUUUACUGAGACUGAUACUAAAACUAUGGGAAGUAGUUAUCUAAUCGACAUGCCCCAAAUACGCUAUAAUAGCUAAGUUGGGGUCCAAUCUUUGCCCUGAUUGGAAGGGUGUCAAUACUGCGCCCCUGGUAAGGACAAGCUGUGAGUGACCCUCAUGUGGCAGGUACUCUAAUGAGAACGGUGGGAAACCUCAUCUGACAGGUCAAGCCACCUCAUCUACCCUAAACUGACAGGUAUUGAUGUCUCAACCUAUGAAGGCUACAUGGUUCUGGAAUGCAAGGACUGCUUCUAAGAAUCACACCCUGUACUGGCAGGUGAGAUCCCAUCCUUGGGUUCGCUAGAUUCAGCCAACUGAAUGACAUUGAACUGAUUAUACUGAACUGAUUUCCUAGUUCAUACUAGAAUUAACUCAACUGUUACUGAUUGUUCUGUUUAACUGAACUGAACAUGGACUGAUUUUAUUGAGUUCCAAUGACUAGCGAAACACUACUGAAUUUUGUUAACUAACUAAAUGCUACUGAGUUCUAUUAGCUGAUUGAGUUUACUGAUGUCUGAACUUAACACAGAACUAAACUGUACUGAUACUGAGAUUUACUUAAUUCCAUAGACUGGCGGAAUAUUACAGAGAUUAUGUAGAUUACUGAGUACUGAGUAAAACUGAACUGAUACUGCCUUUACAUGAGUUUUCCUAACUCAUGAGACUGACUAAAGUCUACUGAACAUGGCUUGACUGAGAGUAUCGUGAAAAUAUGACAUGGCUAUAGGCACCAAGCUAUAUUUUUUGGGUACAAGUACCCCCAGGACUCGAUGAAAGGAAACUGACACAUCAUGAAAAUUCAUGAUCAUAGGAUUAAAGAUCCACAAUUCAUAAUACCAUAAGUUGGGGAUUUCAUGAAAGCACUUGAUAAGUAUAAUCUUGUACAUGAAUAGGAAUGUAUCCUAACAUAUCAUAAUUUCACAAUUUUAAUUUUACUUGCAUGACAUGAACUUGUAUAAAUGAUAACAUAAUGUAGUUUCAUUACUUAACUUUCAUGAACCAUUUGUCAAACACCUGCAAGACAUAGCAUCAACAUGGAAAUCAUUUAGAUCAUGUAGUAUUAACAUGAAUUCAUUAUUUAGAUCACCAAUGGAUCACAAGGCACAAUUCAUUCACUUGAACAUUUUCACAAACACAUGAAAGACAUGAUUUUAUACUUAGGCAUGUAUAACAUGCUCCCAAUUCAUGACCAUAACCACCAAUUCACAUCUCAAGGUUUUCAACAUAUGAUGGUCAUGAUUCAACACACAUGGGAAGCAUAGAUAUUUCAUUCAUCAAUUGACAUAUAUCAAUAUUAUGGGUAUAACAUCCAACUUGCGAAUUCCAAGAACUCAAUAUAAAUCUCAUAUGAAUAAUACCACAAAUAAAUUAGUUUUCAUGAUUCUUGAAAUAACUCAUGGAAUUAAAACUCAAUUUAACACCAACAACAUGAUUAUAAACAUCCCACAACAAAAUAUUCAUGAUACAUAACUUAAAACUUGAUUCUUAAGCUCCAUGAAUGAAAAAAAUCCAUGAAUGAACACUAUGCAUACCUUAGAUUGAUUAUCCGUGAAAGUUAACAGUGAAAUUGGCUUGAAUCUUGAAACCCCCAAUUGAACCCUUACUUGUUCUUGAUAAUUUUUGAGAGAAUUUAAAAAAAAAAGAGUA
This 15003-nucleotide long non-coding RNA is filed under the name Capsicum annuum. RNAcentral's name for it is "long non-coding RNA (CANN_LNC021655)". Lineage: Eukaryota; Viridiplantae; Streptophyta; Magnoliopsida; Solanales; Solanaceae. The record is from RNAcentral.